AGAGAAAUUUGUUUGCUUGCAAACAAAUAGAAAGACGACGAAAUUGACUGUUUUUUUAUGAAGUUCUACUUCGCUGUUAUCCUCAAUGAUUUUUGUGAGACAGUCUCGUAGCUCAGCUGGUUAGAGCGCUACACUGAUAAUGUAGAGGUCGGCAGUUCGAGUCUGCCCGAGACUACGAUACGGAAAGUCUGGAAGCUGAAAUGCUGCUCCAUAAGGAACUUGUUUCAGGUUCAACUUUUAUGGGGGAUUAGCUCAGCUGGCUAGAGCGCUUGAUUUGCAUUCAAGAGGUCAUCGGUUCGACUCCGAUAUUCUCCACUACGAAUACUGUUUUGAAGUAUUCCAAACGUUCAUUGACAUAUUGAGUAAUAUACAAUCAAAUUUAUAAGGUAUAAGCACACAAUCGAGCCGAUUGUGGAGCUUGUACGAGCAAUUAGUAACAAUUUCAUAUAUAAGAGAAAUAAUCGUUAC
RNAcentral lists this transfer RNA (468 nucleotides) under uncultured Flavobacteriaceae bacterium. RNAcentral describes it as "16S-23S ribosomal RNA intergenic spacer". The stretch from base 102 to 175 matches the Rfam family "tRNA". The record is from RNAcentral. Lineage: Bacteria; Pseudomonadati; Bacteroidota; Flavobacteriia; Flavobacteriales; Flavobacteriaceae.